AUAACAAUGAUUCCCCUAGUAACUGCGAGUGAAGAGGGACAAGCUCAAAUUUUAAAUCUGUCAGGUUCUACCUGAUUGAGUUGUAAUUUGAAGAUGGCGUUUUCUGUGUUUCUGAUCGGUCCAAGUCCUUUGGGAUAAGGCAUCAUGGAGGGUGAGAACCCCGUUCGGUUGAUCAGAUUCGCUUUAUGAUACGUUAUCAAAGAGUCAAGUUGUUUGGGAUUGCAGCUUAAAAUGGGAGGUAAAUUUCUCCUAAGGCUAAAUACCGGCGAGAGACCGAUAGCGAACAAGUACCGUGAGGGAAAGAUGAAAAGAAUCUUGAAAAGAAAGUCAAACAGUACGUGAAAUUGUUGAAAGGGAAACGAUUGAAGCCAGUCAUACCGACGGGAAUUCAACUUCUCGAGUGCUAAUCAUGGGUGACGUUGAGCUUCACGGCCUUCGUUGCUUGUGUUGUUGGUGCUUUUGAGGUGUACUUUUCCGUAUUGGUAGGUCAGCAUCGAUUUCGAUCGUCAUAAAAUGAUCGGGGGAAUGUAGCUUCGGUCUCGUAUCGGAGUGUUAUAGACCUUGGUAGAUGUGGCGAUUGGGAUCGAGGAUUGCAACGAAUACCCUUUGGGCUAUCCGUCUGACCUCUGAAAGUCGCUCGGGUGUCGAAAGCGUGCUUAUGGCUAUUCGAGUUGGCGGUCAAUAGGUUAGAACGUGAUU
RNAcentral lists this ribosomal RNA (699 nucleotides) under uncultured Glomeromycotina. RNAcentral's name for it is "eukaryotic LSU rRNA". It matches the Rfam family "Eukaryotic large subunit ribosomal RNA", at positions 65 to 614 of the family's 3401-position model. Lineage: Eukaryota; Fungi; Glomeromycota. The record is from RNAcentral.